RNAcentral lists this long non-coding RNA (205 nucleotides) under Olea europaea (common olive). RNAcentral describes it as "long non-coding RNA (OEUR_LNC011697)". The record is from RNAcentral. Lineage: Eukaryota; Viridiplantae; Streptophyta; Magnoliopsida; Lamiales; Oleaceae.
GAGAAAGAAGAGUAAACGUAAGAGCUGUGUGUAGUAUGAAUUGGUGUUUGUUGUGGGGGCUGUGUUCUCACAUUACACCUUCGCUCUGUGUGAAACGGUAGAAACAGUAGAGAGAGAAAGUUGUGAAGAUUAGAGUAAUGAUGAGAAGAGAAGGCUACUGUUUGCAUGAACGGAUACAGCUAAGAUAAAUGAGUGACGAUAAUUG